RNAcentral lists this ribosomal RNA (253 nucleotides) under uncultured bacterium. RNAcentral's name for it is "partial 16S ribosomal RNA". It matches the Rfam family "Bacterial small subunit ribosomal RNA", at positions 524 to 776 of the family's 1533-position model. The record is from RNAcentral.
UACGUAGGUGACCAGCGUUGUCCGGAUUUACUGGGCGUAAGGAGCGCGCAGGCGGUCGUUCAAGUCGAGUGUGAAAGCCCCCGGCUCAACUGGGGAGGGUCACUUGAUACUGAUCGACUCGAAGGCAGGAGAGGGAAGCGGAAUUCCCGGUGUAGUGGUGAAAUGCGUAGAUAUCGGGAGGAACACCAGUGGCGAAGGCGGCUUCCUGGCCUGUUCUUGACGCUGAGGCGCGAAAGCUAGGGGAGCAAACGGG